RNAcentral lists this long non-coding RNA (874 nucleotides) under Trifolium pratense (red clover). Its description in RNAcentral is "long non-coding RNA (TPRA_LNC008511)". Lineage: Eukaryota; Viridiplantae; Streptophyta; Magnoliopsida; Fabales; Fabaceae. The record is from RNAcentral.
CAAUCGAGUUAAUUCUUUAAGUUCUGUAAAGCUAACGAAUUUACCCUCGUUGGCAUAUCAAAUUUCAUCGGAUUCGGAGUUACAAUGCGUUAUGUAGGUGAUGUUAAAGUUGAAGAUACAAAACAGGAUUUCUGCAGAAAAUGUGUUUGGACAGUGCUGCACUUAAAGGUUAACUGCGCCCUCUGUAUAACUCGGUUUGAGAUUCCGUUUUCUUCUAUGGAUAGCUAACUCGAUUACGGUCGCUAUGGUUCCAGUUUUGUGAAUUUUCAAUAAGGGAUGAGGUCUGUAUGAAUUUUUGAAGUUGAUGCUCUGAUGCAGAAUUCUGCAGAAAGUUAUGGGUACGGGUUUGAAGCAUUUCGAUUGCAAUUAUGCAUAUCAGCGAACUCUGGAAAUGACGAUGGUAUUGUUCAAGUGUGUUUGCAGGUGGGUUCCCUUAGAGCCUUAAACUCUAGUUAGUUUUAGCUCUAUUAGUUUCCCCAAAUUAUGAAUCUUGCNNNNNNNNNNNNNNNNNNNNNNNNNNNNNNNNNNNNNNNNNGUGAAUUAUGUAUGAGAGGAGCUUAAUCCCAAAGCUUCUCUCCGUUUUAAUUAUGUGAUAUAUGCUGUAAUGUUCAUGGCUAAUAAGGAAAGGGAUUGUGAUAAUGAUUUUUUUGCAAAACGGAUGGAAAUUUUAAAAACAGAGUAAUGAACUGAUAGCCUCGCUAAGCGAAAUGGUACUCGCUAGGCGAGAAUGUCAGCACAGUACUAUGUGGAAUUUAAAAUUAUGAACAAACUCACGUUUUUGAAUCCCCUACGUUUUUAGUACAUUUUCUGUGAAUAAUACAGGUAUAAUACUUAAUUAAAAUGUUAAGUACACGUUAAGUUAAGAUAAUCAGGA